AUUCCACGUGUAGCAGUGAAAUGCGUAGAGAUGUGGAGGGACCCCGAUGGCGAAGGCAACCCCCUGGGCCUGUACUGACGCUCAUGCACGAAAGCGUGGGGAGCAAACAGGAUUAGAUCCCUGGUAGUCCACGCCCCUAAACGAUGUCGACUAGUCGUUCGGGAGCAGCAAUGCACUGAGUGACGCAGCUAACGCGUGAAAGUCGACCGCCUGGGGGAGUACGGCCGCAAAGGUUAAAACUCAAAGGAAAUUGACGGGGACCCGCACAAAGCGGUGGAUGAUGUGGGAUUAAUUCGAUGCAACGCGAAAAACCUUACCUACCCUUGACAUGCCAGGAAGCUUGCUGAGAGGCGAGCGUGCCUUCGGGAGCCUGGACACAGGUGCUGCAUGGCUGUCGUCAGCUCGUGUCGUGAGAUGUUGGGUUAAAGUCCCCGCAACGAGCGCAACCCUUGUCACUAGUAAACAUCAUAAGGUUGGGCACUCUAGUGAGACUGCCGGUGACAAACCGGAGGAAGGUGGGGAUGACGUCAAGUCCUCAUGGCAAAAAUGGGUAGGGCUUCACACGUCAUACAAUGGUCGGUACAGAGGGUUGCCAAGCCGCGAGGUGGAGCCAAUCCCAAAAAGCCGAUCGUAGUCCGGAUCGUAGUCUGCAACUCGACUACGUGAAGUCGGAAUCGCUAGUAAUCGCAGAUCAGCAUGCAGCGGUGAAUACGUUCCCGGGUCUUGUACACACCGCCCGUCACACCAUGGGAGUGGGUUUCACCAGAAGUCCCCUAGCUUGACCUUCGGGAGGGCGCUUACCACGGUGAGAUUCAUCCCUUUGUAAGUCGUAACAAGG
RNAcentral lists this ribosomal RNA (838 nucleotides) under uncultured Thauera sp. RNAcentral's name for it is "bacterial SSU rRNA". It matches the Rfam family "Bacterial small subunit ribosomal RNA", at positions 666 to 1496 of the family's 1533-position model. The record is from RNAcentral. Lineage: Bacteria; Pseudomonadati; Pseudomonadota; Betaproteobacteria; Rhodocyclales; Zoogloeaceae.